UACAGAGGGUGCAAGCGUUGUUCGGAAUUAUUGGGCGUAAAGGGCGCGUAGGCGGUGCGGUAAGUCUGUAGUGAAAUCUCUGGGCUCAACUCAGAGUCUGCUAUAGAAACUGCCGUGCUUGAGUGUGGGAGAGGUGAGUGGAAUUCCCGGUGUAGCGGUGAAAUGCGUAGAUAUCAGGAGGAACACCUGUGGCGAAAGCGGCGCACUGGACCACAACUGACGCUGAGGCGCGAAAGCUAGGGGAGCAAACAGG
RNAcentral lists this ribosomal RNA (253 nucleotides) under uncultured bacterium. RNAcentral describes it as "partial 16S ribosomal RNA". It matches the Rfam family "Bacterial small subunit ribosomal RNA", at positions 524 to 776 of the family's 1533-position model. The record is from RNAcentral.